Hermetia illucens (black soldier fly) is the source of this 1006-nucleotide RNA transcript. RefSeq lists it as uncharacterized. The transcript has 4 exons. The record is from RefSeq and is a predicted model, not a curated record. Lineage: Eukaryota; Metazoa; Arthropoda; Insecta; Diptera; Stratiomyidae.
UUCAAUAUUGUUAUUUUUUUUGUGAAAUGUCACUUUCUGCUCUUUUAUAAUUUUUUGUGCCUUUUUAAAUUUCCUUUUAUAUACGAGAUAAACUGAAAUUUCCUACAUCAGCGUCACAGCAUCCUGCAUCACCGCCGCAACCCAACACAUCACUGCUAACAAAGAUCUGGGACUCCCCUGGGUGUUUCGAUCCCCCAAUGUUGAACAUAUUGUCAAGAAGGCCUGCAAUUUUUUGUUUUGUCCUUUUCUACAUCCACAGCCUCUCUAGCUUUUCGGGCCAAGGCACAAGCAAAAUCUGGAUGUCGUUCGGCCUUGAAGUGGACGCUGAUCCAGCGUUCAACCAAGCGUCGAAUGGGGAGGAGAAGGAAGAACUAUAAACAUAACAUCUACUUGACUUUGGGCUGGAAAUUCCCACUUUUCUGCUCCACGGACGAAGAUGACUUAUGGUUUCAUACCAGGUCGGUGUGUGUAGACCGGACUAGACAUGGCUACCAGCUGAUGGCAUGUUUAUGCUACAGCCCAUGGGAGUAAUUGAUGCCUGCCAAGGUUGAAUUAUGGACUCUGAAGGAGCAGGGAAUCGGAAGAUCUUCCAGGACUUUAAUAAAGAUGUACACUCCCUCCUAUCACCAAAUAGAUCAUAGCAAUAUCAGGGAAAUGCUAACCCCCAUGGGUACUCAGCAUAGAUGCGCCUUCAGCAUUCUGGUCGUCAGCUUUUUUAUGACACCUGUGCCCACCUUGGAGCUUGUAUUUUUCAAAUCCCGUGAAGAACGACGGAACGAAUCAACCAAUGAACGAGCCAACCGUCGAAGAACAAUCUGCGGAAAAAGCGGAGUCGAAUCAUCAUCACAUUUAAUUGUCCGUCAUUGGGAUUCCUUCGCCAUUAAGGCUACGUCGCGUAACACGAAAGUGUCGCUACUUUUUUUCCGUCAUGUACUUGUGCAAGGAGCGACAAUAAUCCUCUAGUCAUCCUGUGAUCGUUGAACUUUUUGCCGGGAAAUUGCUUUCU